This 476-nucleotide long non-coding RNA is filed under the name Coturnix japonica (Japanese quail). RNAcentral's name for it is "lncRNA (ENSCJPG00005000125.1)". The record is from RNAcentral. Lineage: Eukaryota; Metazoa; Chordata; Aves; Galliformes; Phasianidae.
UUUUAACCCAAAAUGGCCUUUAUUACCGCAAAAAUGGCCCUUUUUUUACCCCAAAACAGCCUUUAUUACCCCAUAACAACCUUUAAUUACCCCAAAAUGUCCUUUUAUUACCCCAAAAAGGCCCUUCAUUACCCCAAAAUGACCAUUUAUUACCCAAAACAGCCUUUUUUUACCCCAAAAUGGCUUUUAUCAUUACCCCAAAAUGGCCUUUUAUCACCCCAAAUGUCCAUUAAUUGCCCCAAAAUUGCCCUUUAUUACCCCAAAACGGCCCUUUAUUACCCCAAAUGUCCAUUAAUUGCCCCAAAAUUGCCCUUUUUUACCCCAAAACGCCCCAUUUCCCCCCAUUCCCGCGGGGGUCCUCAGCCCCCCCCCACUCCUUUAAGGGGUUUCGGGGGGGGGCGUCACACUGCGGGUAUAGGGGGGUAAUUAACGAGCACUAUUAGGGGCUCUAAUGGGGUAAUUAACGAGCUCUGUUA